This 87-nucleotide transfer RNA is filed under the name Gemmiger formicilis. RNAcentral describes it as "tRNA-Leu". It matches the Rfam family "tRNA". From Rfam's summary of the family: Transfer RNA (tRNA) molecules are approximately 80 nucleotides in length. Lineage: Bacteria; Bacillati; Bacillota; Clostridia; Eubacteriales; Oscillospiraceae. The record is from RNAcentral. RNAcentral also lists the same sequence under 2 other names.
GCCGGUGUGUUGGAAUUGGCAGACGAGACGGACUCAAAAUCCGUUGCGGGCAACCGCGUGUGGGUUCGACCCCCACCACCGGCACCA